CUUUUCUAGCACCAGGAGUAGCUGUGGGAUCCUGCAUGCUGAGAUCUCCUCCUUCUCUCUGUUUUCUCUAAAUCAAGGCUACAGUAGAACUUUGGGGCAUCAAAGAAAGUAAUUGCAGGGCAAUAAAGUGAGAGAUGGAGUCUCGCUCUGUCACCCAAGCUGGAGCGCAGUAGUGCGAUCUCUGCUGACUACAACCUCUGCCUUCUGGGUACAGCGAUUCUCCUGCCUCAGCCUUCCCGGUAGCUGGGAUUACAGGCACCCACCACCACGCCCGGCUAAUUUUUGUAUUUUUAGUAGAGACACGGUUUCACCAUGUUGGCCAAGGCUGGCCUCGAACUUCUGACCGUAGGUGAUCUACCCGCCUCGGCCUCCCAAAGGGCUGGGAUUACAGGCGUGAGCCACCGUGCCCGGCCCUACAUCUUACAAUAGAAAAAAUAAUAAUAAAAUAUUCUUGUGAAUUCUAAAGCACAUCAGUGAUGGUAAAUUUCAAAUCUUUGUGUAUUCACUAUUUAACACAUGAACUAUUUUAUCAGAAUUAUAUUUAUGUAAUAUGUGUGUAUUACAGCAUAAUAUGAGCUACAAUUAUAUUCCAUAAAUGACUCUCUAAAACAAAAACAUUGGUCUCAGCAUAAAUAAAGAAACAAUUUGAUUCAGCACACUAUUAAGUGUUACUGAGGACAUCUUGUGUACUGUCAAGGAACAAUUUAUGGGAAAAAAUAAAAUAUGAAUUGAUGCCUCAUACACACCAGAAUUUAAACACUCUUCAAAGAGGAGAAAGCAUGCCCAGGGAAUACAAUUUGGAAAAGUGGAGGCACAGAGGUAGGAAAAAGCAAGACGGCAGAACAGAUGGAUAGAAAGGAGCCAUUGAAGGCAUUUUAAACAGUGUUAGAUACUUUACCAUCUCCAUACUUCAAUAUUAGAAGGAAAUCACCAUUCCCAUCCCUCCUGGAGUCAAUUUCUUCAGGAUUACAAUAAGAGUUCUGCAGAGUAUAAAGCAGUAGCUGCCUCGAAUGGAAUGGCUGGGGACAAAUGGAAUGGCUGUGUGUGUUAAGAGACAGCAAAUUUGAGAGAACAUAGGAAUAGAGGAGCUAUUUGCUACCUACUUUAUCUUGGACCCAGCUACCUUGAA
RNAcentral lists this long non-coding RNA (1129 nucleotides) under Homo sapiens (human). RNAcentral describes it as "HSALNT0392995". Lineage: Eukaryota; Metazoa; Chordata; Mammalia; Primates; Hominidae. The record is from RNAcentral.